Molecule: ribosomal RNA, 503 nt
Filed under: uncultured bacterium
Lineage: Bacteria
Description: partial 16S ribosomal RNA
Rfam family: Bacterial small subunit ribosomal RNA
Source: RNAcentral
AUUGAACGCUGGCGGCAGGCUUAACACAUGCAAGUCGAGCGGGGUGAUGGUGCUUGCACUAUCACUUAGCGGAGGACGGGUGAGUAAUGCUUAGGAAUCUGCCUAUUAGUGGGGGACAACAUCUCGAAAGGGAUGCUAAUACCGCAUACGUCCUACGGGAGAAAGCAGGGGACCACUUGUGACGUUGCGCUAAUAGAUGAGCCUAAGUCGGAUUAGCUAGUUGGUGGGGUAAAGGCCUACCAAGGCGACGAUCUGUAGCGGGUCUGAGAGGAUGAUCCGCCACACUGGGACUGAGACACGGCCCAGACUCCUACGGGAGGCAGCAGUGGGGAAUAUUGGACAAUGGGGGGAACCCUGAUCCAGCCAUGCCGCGUGUGUGAAGAAGGCCUUAUGGUUGUAAAGCACUUUAAGCGAGGAGGAGGCUCUUUUGGUUAAUACCCAAGAUGAGUGGACGUUACUCGCAGAAUAAGCACCGGCUAACUCUGUGCCAGCCGCCGCAGUAA